RNAcentral lists this unclassified non-coding RNA (200 nucleotides) under Hevea brasiliensis (rubber tree). The record is from RNAcentral. Lineage: Eukaryota; Viridiplantae; Streptophyta; Magnoliopsida; Malpighiales; Euphorbiaceae.
AGAUUGAUCCUGAUGGGUUUGCACAAGUGAUAGAAAAGAUGCCACAGAUUGCUAGCCUUAACCAACAUGUGAUUAUGAAACCAGUACAGUUUCUUUUGGGGCGAGGAAUCCCAUCUGAUGAUGUAGCAAAGAUGGUUGUAAAAUGUCCGCAGUUAGUUGCAUUGCGAGUACCACUUGUGCAAACCCAUCAGGAUCAAUCU